This 786-nucleotide long non-coding RNA is filed under the name Pan troglodytes (chimpanzee). RNAcentral's name for it is "lncRNA (ENSPTRG00000053462.1)". The record is from RNAcentral. Lineage: Eukaryota; Metazoa; Chordata; Mammalia; Primates; Hominidae.
CACUUGUCAGCUUGGGUGAAAAAUACUGCCUACCCAUCACUCUCUGAUUUUUCCUUUCAGCCAAGACUGAAUGCCACUAAUGGGCCAUUACCUGAAAGUACCGUGAAGGGUGAGCUUGUCCUUGGGAAAUAAACCUCUGGUGUGAAUUAUUUCACUUGCAUCUGACCAGCGUCAACACUGAUGGCCUGUGGAGUGGGAUGGAAAGGCUGAUGACACACAGGCCAGGUGACAGCAGAGCAGCUCAGCACAAGGGCCGAGGCUGGCUGCAGCUCUGACGGGCAUGUUCUGGACUUCAGCAAGUAUGGAACCUCCCUGUGCCUCAGUUUAUACACUUGUAAAUGGGUGGAUAAUAAUGGCACUGUCAAUCAGGAAUCCAGACUCAGAAAGGCACAAACUCCUGGCCACAACCCCUGCUGCAGACGGAGGGAGUCUGGGGCCCCAGGAGGAUCCGGAUGCUGGUGCUGUCGGCUGUGGAGAGAAAAGACAUGCUUGAGGAGAACUGGGCCCUGUCUAUGGCUCAGCCUUCCAGGGUAUCUAAUUCUGGUUCUAAGGGAACUGUUUCACAACUUGCUAAGGUGCAGACAACUGACAGCAAUGCCGAGAGAUGACUCCAUUGCAGCCAGGUGAGCUCAGUCCUGUGGCGGCUCUGCUGGCUACCUUCUCACAGCGGAAGGGCCCAGCGUGGUUCCAUCUGCACAUUCCCCUACAUAUUCCAGACCUACACACCCAUGGGUUGUCUGAUUCUCCUUCCUUGUAACUGGUUGUAAGAUCUUACUAGUUCUCUCA